UACGUAGGGUGCGAGCGUUAAUCGGAAUUACUGGGCGUAAAGCGUGCGCAGGCGGUGAUGUAAGACAGAUGUGAAAUCCCCGGGCUCAACCUGGGAACUGCAUUUGUGACUGCAUCGCUGGAGUGCGGCAGAGGGGGAUGGAAUUCCGCGUGUAGCAGUGAAAUGCGUAGAUAUGCGGAGGAACACCGAUGGCGAAGGCAGCCUCCUGGGCCAGCACUGACGCUCAUGCACGAAAGCGUGGGGAGCAAACAGG
Molecule: ribosomal RNA, 253 nt
Filed under: uncultured bacterium
Lineage: Bacteria
Description: partial 16S ribosomal RNA
Rfam family: Bacterial small subunit ribosomal RNA
Source: RNAcentral